GCUACUACCGAUUGAAUGGUUUAGUGAGGACUCCUGAUUGGCGCCGCCGCCCCGGCAACGGAGCAGCGGACUGCCGAAAAGUUGUUCAAACUUGAUCAUUUAGAGGAAGUAAAAGUCGUAACAAGGUUUCUGUAGGUGAACCUGCAGAAGGAUCG
RNAcentral lists this unclassified non-coding RNA (155 nucleotides) under sea anemone metagenome. RNAcentral's name for it is "partial contains small subunit ribosomal RNA and internal transcribed spacer 1". It matches the Rfam family "Eukaryotic small subunit ribosomal RNA", at positions 1678 to 1827 of the family's 1831-position model. The record is from RNAcentral.